CAAAACCAUGGCGCCGGUUUGGCAUUUUUUUGUAACGUGUACAGUAAAAUAUUGAAGGGGGGGAGUGGGGUGCUAAGAGAAGGACGAAGAGGAGGAAAAAAAAAGAGGAAUAGGAAGAAAAGCAGGAAAAAUGAGCUAAAAUGAAAAUUUAGAAGAAGCUAAAUUAAAAAUAAAAAUAUAGUAACUAAAAGGAUAUAACUUGCAAGUGAGUAUUAUUUUCAGGAUCGACAGAAGUUUUGGUUAUAUUUACACUGUCAUAAAAAAUGAACUUUGUAAACUUUGGGCUAGAACUUUUCCCGGAGUGAAUUUUAUUGAUAUUAGACAAUAAAUUGGAGUUUGAAUGGUGCAAUUCAAACAUGCUGAUGAAUUGAUUUGGAAUCAAGUAAUUGUUAAAAUCAGGCCCAAUAACUUUAUUAACUGGGAAUACUGAAAUAAAAUAAAGAAUAUCUUCUCGUGAAAAUACUAUACUUUUAAGAAUAUAAUUGUCAAAAUUACAGUUAUUUGAUUGAAAGGAAUUACUACCAAUUGGAAUAAGCUCUCCAUGCCCAAAAAGAGUCAGGAAAUCUUUUGAUAAAUUGGAAUUUGAGAAUUUACCGCAAAUUAUAAAUGAAGUUAUUUCAUUAAGGUUUAUAAUGACUGUUUCAUCUUCUAUUUUAUUUAAUUUGAUUUGAGGGUUGAAGAUUAACUCACUUAUAAAAUUCUUCCAAACAAUUUCUUUAAUGGAGUAUCUUAAAGACUUGAUACAAGAAAUUUGUUUUUUGAUAGAACAGAAAUAUGUAAAAUUAACAUUUGCAAGAAUUAAUCGUCUAAAAUUCAGGAAGCAUCCUCCCACAUCAAAUUCCCAAAAAUCUAUACUUUGUUUUUGAAGUUUGUAACCAUCAGGAACCUCAAAUAUUAUUCUCGAGGUAUUUUCCAAAUAAAUAUUACCACGAAAAUAUGAGUACCACAUAAACAUAUUAUUUACAUUCUUUUUGAAAAGCCUUUUUAUCUUAUUAAAAAAUGGUGCAAACAAUAUUGAACUAGUUUUGUAAAAAUCUUUAUAACUUACACGGUUUGUUGGAUUUCUCCCAAUGGCUAAAAUAGAAUUUAAAUCAGAUUCUUCAAAAUUGUGAUAUAUACAUAUUAUAUCACAUUUUAAAGCCAUUUUCCUGAAAUGGUGAGCAUUAAGAUUGCUACAUAGUCCCACAUUUCCAAGUAAUAUAUUAACACAAUUAUUAAUUUUCAUAGUGUAAUUAAAAGAUGGAGAAAAAAUACAAUAUAUAUAUAUAUAUAUAUGUUUUUAAUCGAAA
RNAcentral lists this non-coding RNA (1289 nucleotides) under Cryptosporidium parvum. Lineage: Eukaryota; Apicomplexa; Conoidasida; Eucoccidiorida; Cryptosporidiidae. The record is from RNAcentral.